GCGGUUGUGGCUCAGUGGUAGAGUGCUUGCCUAGCAUGCAUGAAGACUGGGUUCAAUCUUCAGCACCUCA
This 70-nucleotide transfer RNA is filed under the name Ictidomys tridecemlineatus (thirteen-lined ground squirrel). RNAcentral describes it as "Spermophilus tridecemlineatus (thirteen-lined ground squirrel) tRNA". It matches the Rfam family "tRNA". From Rfam's summary of the family: Transfer RNA (tRNA) molecules are approximately 80 nucleotides in length. Their secondary structure includes four short double-helical elements and three loops (D, anti-codon, and T loops). The record is from Rfam by way of RNAcentral. Lineage: Eukaryota; Metazoa; Chordata; Mammalia; Rodentia; Sciuridae.